This 443-nucleotide ribosomal RNA is filed under the name uncultured bacterium. RNAcentral's name for it is "bacterial SSU rRNA". It matches the Rfam family "Bacterial small subunit ribosomal RNA", at positions 1057 to 1501 of the family's 1533-position model. The record is from RNAcentral.
AGAUCGUGUGGUGAGAUGUUGGGUUAAGUCCCGCAAUGAGCGCAACCCUAAUCUUUAGUUGCCAUCAGUUAGGCUGGGCACUCUAGAGAAACUGCUUGGGAUGAGCAGGAGGAAGGCGGGGACGACGUCAAGUCAUCAUGGCCGUUAUGGACUGGGCUACACACGUGCUACAAUGGCGGUGACAAUGGGCAGCAACAGAGCGAUCUGAAGCAAAUCUCAAAAAACCGUCCCAGUUCGGAUUGUACUCUGCAACUCGAGUGCAUGAAGUUGGAAUCGCUAGUAAUCGCGGAUCAGCAUGCCGCGGUGAAUACGUUCCCGGGCCUUGUACACACCGCCCGUCACACCAUGGGAGUUGGUUCUACCCGAAGCCGGUGCGCUAACCGCAAGGAAGCAGCCGACCACGGUAGGGUUAGCGACUGGGGUGAAGUCGUAACAAGGUAACC